ACGAAGGGUGCAAGCGUUACUCGGAAUUACUGGGCGUAAAGGGCGCGUAGGCGGCUUGAUAAGCGUGCGGUGAAAGCCCGGGGCUCAACCCCGGGUCGGCCGUGCGAACUGUCGAGCUGGAGCACUGUAGAGGCAGGUGGAAUUCCGGGUGUAGCGGUGGAAUGCGUAGAGAUCCGGAAGAACACCGGUGGCGAAGGCGGCCUGCUGGGCAGUGGCUGACGCUGAGGCGCGACAGCGUGGGGAGCAAACAGGA
Molecule: ribosomal RNA, 253 nt
Filed under: uncultured prokaryote
Description: partial 16S ribosomal RNA
Rfam family: Bacterial small subunit ribosomal RNA
Source: RNAcentral